UUAACGGAGCGCAAGCGACGUUCAACCGCAAAAGAAGCAGAGGGGGCUUAGUGGUGGGGUGACUGCGUACCUUUUGUAUAAUGGGUCAGCGACUUAUAUUCUGUAGCAAGGUUAACCGUAUAGGGGAGCCGGAGGGAAACCGAGUCUUAAUUGGGCGUUAAGUUGCAGGGUAUAGACCCGAAACCCGGUGAUCUAGCCAUGGGCAGGUUGAAGGUUGGGUAACACUAACUGGAGGACCGAACCGACUAAUGUUGAAAAAUUAGCGGAUGACCUGUGGCUGGGGGUGAAAGGCCAAUCAAACCGGGAGAUAGCUGGUUCUCCCCGAAAGCUAUUUAGGUAGCGCCUCGUGAAUUCAUCUCCGGGGGUAGAGCACUGUUUCGGCUAGGGGGCCAUCCCGGCUUACCAACCCGAUGCAAACUGCGAAUACCGGAGAAUGUUAUCACGGGAGACACACGGCGGGUGCUAACGUCCGUCGUGAAGAGGGAAACAACCCAGACCGCCAGCUAAGGUCCCAAAGUCAUGGUUAAGUGGGAAACGAUGUGGGAAGGCCCAGACAGCCAGGAUGUUGGCUUAGAAGCAGCCAUCAUUUAAAGAAAGCGUAAUAGCUCACUGGUCGAGUCGGCCUGCGCGGAAGAUGUAACGGGGCUAAACCAU
Molecule: ribosomal RNA, 654 nt
Filed under: Salmonella enterica
Lineage: Bacteria; Pseudomonadati; Pseudomonadota; Gammaproteobacteria; Enterobacterales; Enterobacteriaceae
Description: partial 23S ribosomal RNA
Rfam family: Bacterial large subunit ribosomal RNA
Source: RNAcentral